RNAcentral lists this ribosomal RNA (305 nucleotides) under uncultured bacterium. Its description in RNAcentral is "bacterial SSU rRNA". It matches the Rfam family "Bacterial small subunit ribosomal RNA", at positions 334 to 636 of the family's 1533-position model. The record is from RNAcentral.
CGUGCCUACGGGAGGCAGCGGUGAGGAAUAUUGGUCAAUGGGCGGAAGCCUGAACCAGCCAAGUCGCGUGAGGGAAUAAGGCCCUACGGGUCGUAAACCUCUUCUGCCGGGGAGCAAGGGCGGGGACGUGUCCCGGCCCGGAGAGUACCCGGAGAAAAAGCAUCGGCUAACUCCGUGCCAGCAGCCGCGGUAAUACGGAGGAUGCGAGCGUUAUCCGGAUUUAUUGGGUUUAAAGGGUGCGUAGGCGGGCUUUUAAGUCAGCGGUAAAAAUUCGGGGCUCAACCCCGGCCGGCCGUUGAAACUGG